Molecule: long non-coding RNA, 267 nt
Filed under: Elaeis guineensis (African oil palm)
Lineage: Eukaryota; Viridiplantae; Streptophyta; Magnoliopsida; Arecales; Arecaceae
Description: long non-coding RNA (EGUI_LNC030728)
Source: RNAcentral
CCCAUUUCAAAUUAAGGAUUGGACUAGGAUUGGAUAUUUGGGCUAUUGAUCAGGCUUGAAUUCAGACUCGAGCUUGGGCUUGGGUCAGGCCAUCGAUCUACUCGAGCUCGAUCCAAAAUUAUAAUGAGCUCUAUAAUCAGGCCCAAGCUCAAUUUGAUAUUAUUCGAGUCUAGCUCAAAGCCCAAUCCGAAGUCGGGCUAGCCCAAUGGGCUUCGGGCUAGUCGAAACCCAUUUAUAACCCUAAAAGAAGAUGAGAUUAGAGCCAUA